GUUUACGUUGACGAAGUAUGAAGAGAGAGAGUCGGGAAAACACGGGAGAAAACUGUACAAAAUGACGGAGAAAACGAGCAACACUACGUUCAGUAAUGGAGCAGGCCCUGAGCUGAGGAGAUGCGAUUGUGCCAAACAAAGGGGAGCUUGUGUCUCAUCUGCAGGGACAGCGACGGUCAAGUGUAGAGUACAGUGGAUACAGUGUAUACAAAUGCCACCUUGACUGUGUGCAAAGCCAUUAUCACUGUGGCUUUGUGAAAAAUGUUUUGUCCGUCAGUUUAAACCCUGGUGCAAGACAGCAACCACAAAUAUUACUGCAACUUUGGCGUCCACGGUGAUUCAGGCGUCCAGGGUGACUGUGGCAUCCACGGUGACUCCGGCGUCCACGGUGACUCCAGCGUCCACAGCAGACCAUCAGAAAGAAACAUGUAUGUUUACCAUGGUGCCAGAGGACACUGAAGACCAUCCCUACAGCAAAGACUUGGAAAGGGCCCAACAAGCGCAACAGAAACGACACGAGGCAAGUUGGCUGUUAAUCAAUGUCAUCACAGAGGAUCAGGGCAUGCUGCAACACCUUAAAGUGAGUGACAAUGGCAUUUAGUGUGGUGUUUGUGUAUUUGUAUACGAGUACCCAGACUAAAAUCCUAUAGAAUCUUUGUAGAAAAUCAUCACAGGCAACACUGUGUCUCCCUGGGCCAAGAAAGAGGACAGGGUCAUCACUCUUUUCGAAGAUGAUGACCAAGUGGACAAGGUGAUGCACUUCUUGUCUGAAGUACUCGAAAGUAGACAGACAAGAAGUCUGCAGAUCCUGUGGCGUUCAUAAUGGAUGUACUUUUGCCAGAGCUGAUAUCUCAGACACUGACACUGAUUUGUAGACUACAUGUUUUAUAUGACUGCAUAUGUCUGUCUCCUUUUAACACAUGAUCACGGUCUAACACAAUCUUUCAUGCCACAGGCAACAGUAUAUUCCCUUGGAGCUGUUCACUCCAUCUCUCUGGACAAAGUGUUUCUCAACACUGAUGACUCAAGAAUUUCUUUCACAUUUUGGCGACGAGGAUGGGAUGGACACUCCAAUGCUCAGGGCCUGAGUUCUGACUGAAGGUUACUAUCGGUAAGGAAAAUUUCCGCUCCACCAAGGAGGACAGGAAUCCGCCUGACAUCAGGAACGGGUGCUGACCAGCGGACGCUCCAUCUUUUUAAAAAGUGAGUACGGUGUUUUUUGAAUCAUUUCUGGUGUACAUAGGUGAAACCUAGGUAGACAGUUGUAAUUCCUUUGUGGUAGACUGUCAAGAUAUUCUAUAAGUCCUGUGUGGUUGAAUAUCGAGGUCCGGUGUAAUACCUGUGUGGUUUGGAGACCGUCUUCAUAUAAUUCCUGUGUGGUUUGAAGACUAGCUUAAGCUUUGGGAAAAAACAAAAAACAAAAAAAAAACAACGUUGGUGUGUGUUUGAUAAGAUCUAACCAUGCUGGCAUGGGAAAAAAUCUCUGCAGGAGGUAGAAGCUGUGAGUUGGAGGUGUUUCAAACUCAGAUGGGCCAAUAUCCGACCGGCCAACUGGUCAACAUCCCCAGUCAUUGGAUCAGUGAGGUUCCACGACAUGAUGACCAGCCUGGCUGAUGCUGUGUGGGCUGUUUUCCCCUUAAGAGUGUGUUGGCCUGAGAUUCACAGCACAAAACAAAAGGAGGGUGAGUUAGCAGCUGACUACCGCACUCGCAUGGAAUCUGUUUUUGCAGCUCACUCCAGCAUCGACGCACAAAAUGAGGCAUAUGAUGACCUGCUGAAAACAACUUUGAUUAAUGGCCUCCACCCUAGCCUCAAGGAUCGUGUCAUGGCUACAUGUGUCAGAUGGGAAACUGGGACAAUAGCAAAUGUCUGGACACACGUUAUGCACGCUGGACAAAAUAAGGUAGAUUUGGACUCUAAACAGACACGAAAACUUCAAACUGCUCAACUGAUGUAUUACCAGCAGGGUGGGGCUCAAAAUCCUGAAAAGGAAUGGCAGCCUCGCCAACCCAACAACAGAGGUAGACGCAGACCGGGUCCGCACCAGAACUCCCAGAGGAAGAACAGCCAAGAACACAACAAGGUGCGGUGCUACAAUUGCGAAGGCUACGGGCAUUUGUCAUAUGAUUGUCCUACAACUGAGUACAACCAGCGAGGAGGACAAAGUCCAGAGGAAUCAUGGCCUCACGCACCACCAAGAGGUCUCUCUGUGCAGUCCCCGGGCUACAGGUAGUGCGACCAUAGGAGACAGUGGAGGCAGGUCAGAGCAUUCAACACAUAGACACAUAAACACAAGUAGGAACUACUGAAGAUAGUAAUGAACUAGUUGUAUAUCAACUAGUUCAUUACUAUCUACAACACAUAUCAACAAUAUGAACACUUAACCAGAGACUCUAAAACACCCCCUACGUUGAUUCUAAAUGUACAAGGUAUUAAUGUGACAUUCCUUGUAGACUCGGGAGCACAGGUCUCUGUAAUCCAAUCCAAAUUAUUCCCUGAUGCACCCAAAACAAGUAAAUUCCUAAAGACAAUAGGAGCGUCAGGGCUUCAGGGUUGCCCAGUGCUGAUUGUCCGGGUGCUGGAAGUGAUUUUCCCCAGUCUCACCUGCUGGCUCCUAUCUGUGAGGAAGUUUGUAAUCCACUGACAGGUGGGGGCUGAGACGGAGAGCUGGGUGAGUUUGGAGUGCAGGAUGUCUGGGAUGAUGGUGUUGAACGCCGAGCUGAAGUCCACAAACAGGAUCCUAGCAUAUGUCCCUGGGGAGUCGAGGUGAUGCAGGAUGUAAUGCAGACCCAUAUUGAUUGCAUCAUCCACUGACCUGUUUGCCCGAUAUGCAAACUGCAGGGGGUCCAGCAGGGGGCCUGUGAUGUCCUUCAGGUGGCACAACACCAGUCUCUCAAAGGCCUUCAUGACCACAGACGUCAGGGCCUCGGGCCUGUAGUCAUUUAGACCUGAGAUUGCUGGUUUCUUGGGGACCGGGAUUAUUGUAGAGUGUUUGAAGCAGGAGGGGACUUCACACAGCUCCAGUGAUCUGUUGAAGAUCUGGGUAAAGAUGGGGGCCAGCUGGUCGGCACAGACCUUCAGACAGGUGGGUGACACGCCGUCUGGGCCUGGAGCUUUCCUGGACUUCUGUUUCCUGAAGAGCUGACACACAUCUUCUUCACAGAUCCUGAGUGAUGGUGGGGGGUCAGGAGGGAGGGGUGAUGGUGGUGCAGGGGGAGAUGAGGGUUGUUUGAUGUUGGAUCGGGUGAUGGGUGUGAAGGUUGGCUUCUCAAACCUGCAGUAGAAGACAUUGAGGUCGUCAGCCAGUUCAUGGUUCGCUACUAUGUGGGGGGAUGGUCUCCUGUAGUUGGUGAGCUCUUGUAGACCUCUCCACACUGACGCAGGCUUGUUAGCUGAGAACCUGUUUUUCAGCUUCUCAGUGUAACACCUCUUUGCCACUUUGAUCUCCUUUGUCAGUGAGUUCCUGGUAGUAUUGUACAGGACUCUGUCCCCACUUCUGUAGGCCUCCUCCUUGGCCUGACGAAGCAUCCUAAGUUUAGCAGUGAACCAAGGUUUAUUGUUGUUGUAUGUGCAGAAGGUUUUGGUCGGUACGCACAUGUCCUCACAAAACCUGGUGUAGCAUG
This is a long non-coding RNA of Solea solea (common sole), 3623 nucleotides long. RefSeq lists it as uncharacterized. NCBI's taxonomy places the organism in Eukaryota, Metazoa, Chordata, Actinopteri, Pleuronectiformes, Soleidae. The record is from RefSeq and is a predicted model, not a curated record. The transcript is spliced from 5 exons.